RNAcentral lists this long non-coding RNA (690 nucleotides) under Pan troglodytes (chimpanzee). RNAcentral describes it as "lincRNA". Lineage: Eukaryota; Metazoa; Chordata; Mammalia; Primates; Hominidae. The record is from RNAcentral.
GUUAUGAACCCAGGUGACUUGACUCCAGAGUUACAACCCCACUAAUGAGAAGUGAUUUUUGGCCACGUUGAAGUCAUGACCGGUUUCCCUGGGAAGUCAACAGAAGUUUGGCAGGUGCGUGAGCUCCGCAGGGCAGAGAGCAAGAGGAGAGGUGAGCUCAGAAGGUAAUCGUAAAAUUUGGACACCUCUCUGCAGCUUUAAUGACUCAAACCUAAAAUAGUACUCAGGGAAAGACAGAGUUUGGAAGAAUUUUGAAUUGGGAGUUGGCUAUUUUGGUUGUUUUCUUCUGAUCUGGAAACACUGGGGGAGGGGUGGUUCUUCUACUGAAGUAAACAGGAAUUGUACACAAAGCAGGACUCACAUAAGAGUGAGGGGAUGUCCUACCAAUGCCCACGAUGACCCACUAACAUCCAGAUUUCUACAGUGGAGUUCCCUGGCCUUUACAUAGCAGUGGGCAAGUCCAUGAGAAACAAUGUGGCAGGUGGACUAAGGAAAAAUGGAAGCAUGAUGUGGAUUUUCUUUUCUUUGCAUCUCUUUGUUUUGAUCAUACUGCUCUUUAUCAAAAUGCCUUUCUUCAAUUUCCUCAGCCCAGCAGUUUGAAUAUUUGCAUGAAGUAGGCACAUAUCACUACAUAUGAGCCAUGAAAUGUAUUUGAAAAUAAAUGUUUUAAUUAAAAUUGACAUUUCUGAG